CUAGAUUAUGUCUUCAGUAGCGGUCACGUUCAAUCACUCUGCCACAGAGCUGGAAGUCAUUGUGACAUCGAGACAAGACACGCUUUGUUUAUAUUUCAAAGUGACUUCUGAUGUCAAACUGGUCUAAUAUUGUCUUGUGUUAAAGGAACAUCAUCUUUCUCCUCCAAGAACAGCUUACAAUGACGUACAUUUCCCAAAGCAUUGAAGACUUAUUAAUGAUUUGACUGGGUCUGAAGUGCUGAGCAUAAUAGAUGAGACACCAGUUAAACACCUCCUUUGGAAAUGGCCUGCAAGCUUAUUCUUCUUAAUCGGUCUAACGGUGAGCUUCACGUCUGUCUUGGAGAGGGUUCCACCCCAGUGAAUUCAGAAGUUUGGUGACACUCGCUUCUCUCUCAUAGGUGUUAGUAACAAAUCGAGCUGCCUGUCUUUGGACGCGUUCGACUGUAUUAUUGAUAAAAUUGUUCAUAUUUUAAUUUGAUAACUUUGUUUAUAAACUGCCAAUAAAGACAUUCUUUGAUCCUG
This is a long non-coding RNA of Amblyraja radiata (thorny skate), 522 nucleotides long. RefSeq lists it as uncharacterized. NCBI's taxonomy places the organism in Eukaryota, Metazoa, Chordata, Chondrichthyes, Rajiformes, Rajidae. The record is from RefSeq and is a predicted model, not a curated record. The transcript is spliced from 3 exons.